GUUGUGCUUAUCCUCUGUGGUACUAUAGUUCAACCAGAGUGGAGAAGGCUGUAAAAUCUCUACUAAAGUGUCUUUCUGGAUGAAAAUAAGAUGACUGGUGGCUGGGGGCUUCUGCAUAACCUCAGAAUGGGAGUCAGUUGUCAGGGGAACAAACCAUGUGAUUAGAGAGUUAGAACUUUCUUUUUUUUUUUCCAUUUAUUUUUAUUAGUUGGAGGCUAAUUACUUUACUCCCUGAUCUCCAGGGAGGGAAAAGAGUGGGCAAGUUAACCACACAUGGCCAAUUUAGUCAAUCAUGCCCAGGUAAGGGAGCCUCCACAAAAGUCCCUGAAGCAUGGGAUUCAGACAGUUUCCAGGUUGGUGAACGCGCGGAGGUUCUGGAAGGUGGAAUGCCUGGAGAAGCUCUGCAUUCCUUGCCCCAUACCGUGCUCUACGUGUCUCUUCCAUGGGUUGUUCCUGAGUUGUAACCUUUUAUAAUCAGCUGGUGAUCUAGAAUUCCUCAAAGGCAUGGACCUUCAGUAAAGUCAAAAGAGGGCAGCAGGGCAGACUCCACUGCUGGAAUUACUGAGCAUUUGUCAAGAGGCAGCCUGUGUGCCACGCUAUGAAUUGCCAAGUUAUACCUCAGAUGUAUUAGAAACGAAGGGUGGAGAAUUCUUCCUAUCCAAGCACAUCAGUAUGUGAUAUCCAUGAUGACAUUUUCCUCUGAAGAUCUGAAUCAGCUAUUCUGAACACUGCAUGAAUGAUGAUACUCAGUGAUUAAGAUGAAGCUUUCAGUGACAUAAAUUCUCACCUCUCCAGGGAAUUUUUAGUAACCUCACUUUAACUCCAAAGAACUAACUCCAAUGCUAAGAAGUUCAAGCAUACCAAUAUGCCAAUAAUGGAACUUUCAGAAGAGGGAGCCGUAUUUAUUCUGCAGCCUGCUCAGGACCUUGAAGAAAAAAAGAACAAGCAGAACUAAGAAGAGGAAUAACACAGGUGCUUAGCCUGAGAAAAAGCUCUGAUGAGGCUAAUCACUAUGCUGGACAUCCCUGUUAAGUGACCUUUCACUCUAUGCUUGAGUUUAUCAUCUCAGUAACAAUGACAUCAACCAUAAUUGCAAUUGCUAACAUUUUAUAAAUUCUUCCCACGUGCAAGCACAAUGCUAGGUAUUACAUCAUGCCAUUUAAAAAUCUUUAUAACACCACCAAGAGGUAGGUAUUUUUAAUCUUAUCUUUUAGCUAAGAACAUUGAUGUGUCCAGAAGUAAAAUAAGUUGCCCAGUGAUAUAACAAAUAGCAGAGUCAGAGUCUAGAUCCAAGUCUACCUAUAGACCUAGUACUCUCACCAGUUCAUUGUCCAGACACUGUUCUAAGCACUAGGGAUAUACGAGGUCCCUACCCUGAAAAAGUUUUUAUUCUAGUUAGGGAAAGAAAAAUAUGUAAUAUUACAUUACAGAGUGAUAGAUGCUAAGAAAAAAUAUUGUUAGGUAAGGAAAAAGAACAUGAUAGGCAUUAGUGAGGAACGAUCUUUCCACAGAUGUUGCCUUUCAUCAGAGGCUUAACCAAAGAGAGCAAGAUGGUCAUGCAAUACCGGAGUUGAGUGGGGCCAGCACCCUGGGAGCAGUGAACAGGCAGGGGAAAAGCCUUUUCACUGUCUCAUUUCCCAAAAUGAAGAACUCAGUAUUCCCAGACACAGACACUUACACUUCUUGGUCUGGGGAAGACCGCCCGCUAUGACCUGAGAACACCCCAGCAUCCCUGUGGGUAGGCGCAUGGGGAAAGGAAUCAUCUUGUCAUCACUAACUUGCUGGCCAUUGGUGAGCAACCGUGGAAGGUGAUCCCUCAUCCUCAGACCAGCUUCAAACACUUGCAGUCAC
Long non-coding RNA from Odocoileus virginianus texanus, 1851 nucleotides. RefSeq lists it as uncharacterized. The record is from RefSeq and is a predicted model, not a curated record. Lineage: Eukaryota; Metazoa; Chordata; Mammalia; Artiodactyla; Cervidae.